CUUAUACUCCCUCUAUCUGGAAUUACUUGUCGCAAAAAUGAAUACAGAUGGAUGUGUCUAAAAUUAAAAUACAUCUAGAUACAUUCAUUCCUACGAUAAGUAUUUCCAGUCGGAGGGAGUAAAUU
Non-coding RNA from Hordeum vulgare subsp. vulgare (domesticated barley), 125 nucleotides. The record is from Rfam. Lineage: Eukaryota; Viridiplantae; Streptophyta; Magnoliopsida; Poales; Poaceae.